AAGUCGUAACAAGGUAACCGUAGGUGAACCUGCGGUUGGAUCAUUACCGAAUAAUUUCUUUGGUAGUGUAAAUUACCUCCAACAUUUAUGCGCACUGUAUUUGUCUCUGGCGGCGGGGCAAAAGCUAUUCCCUCUGUGGGUUGCUGCUGCUGCCUGUCAGCUUCGUGCGGGAUAUGCUUAGUUUUGAGCACGUUUCCAGGAGCCGUGGACAAACCGCCAAUGGUUUCUUUUAACCAACCUUGUUUUGCGUCAUUCAGUCUAUGAAGUCAUAUAUGUUCUUAAUGUAACAAUCUGACAAACAACUUUUGGCAACGGAUCUCUUGGCUCUC
This 329-nucleotide unclassified non-coding RNA is filed under the name fungal sp. Its description in RNAcentral is "partial internal transcribed spacer region". The stretch from base 1 to 46 matches the Rfam family "Eukaryotic small subunit ribosomal RNA", at positions 1786 to 1831 of the family's 1831-position model. The record is from RNAcentral. Lineage: Eukaryota; Fungi.